Molecule: ribosomal RNA, 467 nt
Filed under: uncultured bacterium
Lineage: Bacteria
Description: partial 16S ribosomal RNA
Rfam family: Bacterial small subunit ribosomal RNA
Source: RNAcentral
GACGAACGCUGGCGGCGUGCUUAACACAUGCAAGUCGAACGGAAAGGCCCUGCUUUUGUGGGGUGCUCGAGUGGCGAACGGGUGAGUAACACGUGGGUAACCUGCCCUUGACUUUGGGAUAACUUCAGGAAACUGGGGCUAAUACCGGAUAGGAGCUCCUGCUGCAUGGUGGGGGUUGGAAAGUUUCGGCGGUUGGGGAUGGACUCGCGGCUUAUCAGCUUGUUGGUGGGGUAGUGGCUUACCAAGGCUUUGACGGGUAGCCGGCCUGAGAGGGUGACCGGCCACAUUGGGGCUGAGAUACGGCCCAGACUCCUACGGGAGGCAGCAGUGGGGAAUAUUGCACAAUGGGCGGAAGCCUGAUGCAGCAACGCCGCGUGCGGGAUGACGGCCUUCGGGUUGUAAACCGCUUUCGCCUGUGACGAAGCGUGAGUGACGGUAAUGGGUAAAGAAGCACCGGCUAACUACGU